UGUUGCUGUUAAGCUACUGUGUAUUUAGUUCUGGUUUUGUUUAUUUGUGUGUGUAUAGUUUAAAGUAACUGAAAAGUCAACAAGUUUAUUUGAUAAAUUAUUCACUAGAGGUCUCAUAUUUCAAAUAGCUGUGCUGUAGUUACCUAUAUUUUCAGGAAGUUUAAUGUAGGGUGGACCACAUGGACAGCUCCUUAGUGGUCAAUGAAAAAUAAGGACAUUUUCUUCAGCGUCACUAAUGAUCUGUCACAACAUCAGACGUGAGUCUCCAUAUCCUCCUCUGUAGGUUUUUCUGUGUCCUACCAAACACACAUCAGUUUUCUCACAUGACAAUCUAUGUGUGGAGUUCACUUCACUGACGGAAGAAAGUGGAAAAUAUGUCUUUGUCUUAUAUUCUUCUCAUUUAUGUUGCCGGUGUUGCGGUAAAAGAAAGUUGUGCAGAUUCGGUUCCCACUCCCACUAUUGUAUUUUCCCCUGAUUACAUCAAUGUAGCUACACCUGUUACAGUACGCUGUGAGUCACCAGAAGGCACAGAGUGCAUUUUCUACAGAGAUCAUGACCCCAAACCUAUAGAACAG
Non-coding RNA from Salmo salar (Atlantic salmon), 575 nucleotides. NCBI's taxonomy places the organism in Eukaryota, Metazoa, Chordata, Actinopteri, Salmoniformes, Salmonidae. The record is from RefSeq and is a predicted model, not a curated record.